Molecule: ribosomal RNA, 259 nt
Filed under: uncultured bacterium
Lineage: Bacteria
Description: partial 16S ribosomal RNA
Rfam family: Bacterial small subunit ribosomal RNA
Source: RNAcentral
GACAGAGGUGCCAAGCGUUAGGCGGAAUCACUGGGCUUAAAGCGUGUGUAGGCGGAAUGGUAAGUACCUUGUGAAAUCCCACAGCUCAACUGUGGAACUGCUCGGUAUACUGCUUUUCUUGAGCCACUUAGGGGCUGUCGGAACAAACGGUGGAGCGGUGAAAUGCGUAGAUAUGUCGGAGGAACACCGAUGGACGAAGGCAAUCCCCGUGGGCCUGCACUGACGCUCAUGCACGAAAGACCGGUGGGGAGCAAACAGG